RNAcentral lists this ribosomal RNA (253 nucleotides) under uncultured bacterium. RNAcentral describes it as "partial 16S ribosomal RNA". It matches the Rfam family "Bacterial small subunit ribosomal RNA", at positions 524 to 776 of the family's 1533-position model. The record is from RNAcentral.
UACAGAGGUCUCAACCGUUGUUCGGAUUCAUUGGGCGUAAAGGGUGCGUAGGCGGUCGUGCAAGUCGGAUGUGAAAUCUCAGGGCUCAACCCUGAAACUGCAUUCGAUACUGCGUGGCUAGAGUGCUGGAGAGGAGACUGGAAUUUACGGUGUAGCAGUGAAAUGCGUAGAUAUCGUAAGGAAGACCAGUGGCGAAGGCGAGUCUCUGGACAGCAACUGACGCUGAGGCGCGAAGGCCAGGGGAGCAAACGGG